GGGGAAUUUUCCGCAAUGGGCGCAAGCCUGACGGAGCAACGCCGCGAGAGGGAGGAAGGCCUGUGGGUUGUAAACCUCUUUUCUCAAGGAAGAACACAAUGACGGUACUUGAGGAAUCAGCAUCGGCUAACUCCGUGCCAGCAGCCGCGGUAAGACGGAGGAUGCAAGCGUUAUCCGGAAUUAUUGGGCGUAAAGCGUCCGUAGGUGGUUAUAAAAGUCUGUUGUUAAAGCCCACAGCUCAACUGUGGAUCGGCAAUGGAAACUGUAUGACUUGAGUGUGGUAGGGGUAGAGGGAAUUCCUAGUGUAGCGGUGAAAUGCGUAGAUAUUAGGAAGAACACCAGUGGCGAAGGCGCUCUACUGGGCCAUAACUGACACUGAUGGACGAAAGCUAGGGGAGCGAAAGGGAUUAGAUACCCCAGUAGUC
Molecule: ribosomal RNA, 425 nt
Filed under: uncultured cyanobacterium
Lineage: Bacteria; Bacillati; Cyanobacteriota
Description: bacterial SSU rRNA
Rfam family: Bacterial small subunit ribosomal RNA
Source: RNAcentral